Molecule: unclassified non-coding RNA, 421 nt
Filed under: soil metagenome
Description: partial contains 5.8S ribosomal RNA, internal transcribed spacer 2, and large subunit ribosomal RNA
Rfam family: 5.8S ribosomal RNA (bases 1-120)
Source: RNAcentral
GAUGAAGAACGUAGCGAAAUGCGAUACGUAAUGUGAAUUGCAGAAUUCAGUGAAUCAUCGAAUCUUUGAACGCAUAUUGCGCUCUUUGGUAUUCCGAAGAGCAUGCUUGUUUGAGUAUCAGUAAACACCUCAACCUCUUCUUGAUAUUUCAAAAGGAGGGUGGACUUGAGCUAUCCCAACAACCUUUACCGGUCGGCGGGCGGCUUGAAAUGCAGGUGCAGCUGGACUUUUAUCUGAGCUAAAAGCAUAUCUAUUUAGUCCUCGUCAAACAGGAUUAUUACUUUUGCUGCAGCUAACAUAAAGGAUAAUUGUCCUCUUUGCUGACUGAUGCAGGAUUUUACGACACUUUAUGUGUUGUUCAACUCGAUCUCAAAUCAAGUAAGACUACCCGCUGAACUUAAGCAUAUCAAUAAGCGGAGGA